CCCUUAGAUGUUCUGGGCCGCACGCGCGCUACACUGAUGCAUUCAACGAGUCUAAAACCUGCUCUGAUAGGGGUGUGUAAUCUUUUGAAUGUGCAUCGUGAUUGGGAUAGAUGAUUGCAAUUUUUCAUCUUCAACGAGGAAUGCCUAGUAAACGCAAGUCAUCAGCUUGCAUUGAUUACGUCCCUGCCCUUUGUACACACCGCCCGUCGCUCCUACCGAUUGAAUGAUCCGAUGAAUAUCAUGGAUUGAGGAUGCAAGUAGGUUCGCCUAUCUUCAUCUUCGAGAAGUGAAGUAAAUCUUAUCAUUUAGAGGAAGGAGAAGUCGUAACA
Molecule: ribosomal RNA, 329 nt
Filed under: uncultured eukaryote
Lineage: Eukaryota
Description: partial 18S ribosomal RNA
Rfam family: Eukaryotic small subunit ribosomal RNA
Source: RNAcentral